Molecule: ribosomal RNA, 301 nt
Filed under: uncultured bacterium
Lineage: Bacteria
Description: partial 16S ribosomal RNA
Rfam family: Bacterial small subunit ribosomal RNA
Source: RNAcentral
CAGCCGCCGCGGGAAUACAGAGGGUGCGAGCGUUAAUCGGAUUUACUGGGCGUAAAGCGUGCGUAGGCGGCUUUUUAAGUCGGAUGUGAAAUCCCUGAGCUUAACUUAGGAAUUGCAUUCGAUACUGGGAAGCUAGAGUAUGGGAGAGGAUGGUAGAAUUCCAGGUGUAGCGGUGAAAUGCGUAGAGAUCUGGAGGAAUACCGAUGGCGAAGGCAGCCAUCUGGCCUAAUACUGACGCUGAGGUACGAAAGCAUGGGGAGCAAACAGGAUUAGAGACCCGUGUAGUCCCUGUCUCUUAUAC